Molecule: long non-coding RNA, 369 nt
Filed under: Fukomys damarensis (Damara mole-rat)
Lineage: Eukaryota; Metazoa; Chordata; Mammalia; Rodentia; Bathyergidae
Description: lncRNA (ENSFDAG00000030112.1)
Source: RNAcentral
GAGAUGUGCCAGUUUAGCUGCAUUACGAACUUGCCUGGACUACGAGCCUCCUGGACAGGUGACCGGACCAUUGAGGUGCUGCUCACUGCUCCUCAGCGGAUUACCCAUUGCUUUCCAGAGAUGCCAGUCACUUUCUCAAGAUCAGCCAUUGGCAGUCAGCUGUCCAGAUACCAGCAACUGAAAAUGCUACUGAUGAAACCAUCAACUUUCCCCCAAAUAGCUUUUUAAACUUGCUAAUUAUAUCAUUAUUAGCUUAACAAUGGAACCUUUCUGCCCUUUGCUCUUAUUUUUUCUUUUACUCCCAGGAUAUUUUUACAUUGUUUCUUUUUUUUUUUUCCUAAUCCCCAUCCUUACUAACUGGAGUUUGAG